AUGAUGGGUUUAUGGUUUAGAACUGUUUCAUUUAUAUAAUAAAGAAUUUUUUUAAUAGGUGAAAAUACCUAUAGAAAAAUAUUAGACGAGAAGACCCUUAGAGUUUUAAUAAAAAUUUUUACAUUUAAAAUUAUGUUUUUGUUGGGGCGACAGUUUAUCAGUAAAUAAAAUUUAAUAACAUAAACUAAGUAAACUAAACAUAUAACUUAAGGUUGGUUAAGAAGAAUAUAACUACCUGAGGGAUAACAGCAUAAU
This 255-nucleotide ribosomal RNA is filed under the name Geomalacus maculosus. RNAcentral's name for it is "partial 16S ribosomal RNA". The record is from RNAcentral. Lineage: Eukaryota; Metazoa; Mollusca; Gastropoda; Stylommatophora; Arionidae.